AACUAACGCUGGCGGCGCGUCUUAAACAUGCAAGUCGAACGGUCCCUCACCUUUUAGUCAAUAAAAGGUAGAGGGAGUAGUGGCGAACGGGUGAGUAACACGUGGGUAAUCAACCUUCAAGUCUGGGAUAACCUGUCGAAAGGCAGGCUAAUACGGGAGUAGUAUUGAGAAGACUCAAGUCAUUUCAAUUAAAGGAGCAAUUCGCUUGAAGACGAGCCCGCGGCUGAUUAGCUAGUUGGUGAGGAACGGCUCACCAAGGCGACGAUCAGUAGCCGGCCUGAGAGGGUGGUCCGGCCACAUUGGGACUGAGACACGGCCCAGACUCCUACGGGAGGCAGCAGUUAAG
This 346-nucleotide ribosomal RNA is filed under the name uncultured bacterium. RNAcentral describes it as "bacterial SSU rRNA". It matches the Rfam family "Bacterial small subunit ribosomal RNA", at positions 29 to 359 of the family's 1533-position model. The record is from RNAcentral.